This 673-nucleotide long non-coding RNA is filed under the name Pan troglodytes (chimpanzee). Its description in RNAcentral is "long non-coding RNA NONPTRT003216". Lineage: Eukaryota; Metazoa; Chordata; Mammalia; Primates; Hominidae. The record is from RNAcentral.
GCCGUCCCGCAGAUGUGCGGGGACGCGCGCCCGCCGCAACGUGAGGCUCAUAGGCCACACGCAACUCUGAGCAUUGGCCAGGACCUGUAGUAGCCAACAGGACACUUAAUAACUGAUGUAUAGGUGCGCACUGUGUGUCCAGAGCUUUACGUUAACCACCUCACUGUGUCAUCUCGCUGAGGUUGUGUGGUUUACUAUUACUGUUAUUAGCGCAUUUUUAAGCGGGAAACCUGAGGCAUGAGGAGGGUCAGUCCUCGACCUUGUCCCCCCAGAUUGCUUCGUCUCUGAAUCCAGACUCUGAAGUUCGGCUCUGCCUACCACCUUAAGUUAUCCGAUGUGGCCUUACCGUCAGCCUAGUCUUUGACUACAGGAAGACCUCUCUUCCUGAAGAAGACGCCUCUUUUCAUCCAUUCACUCUGGAAAUGAUUCAACGUCUGCCUGCUGCUGAUGCUUUACUCUCCACCAGGGGUUUUCGAAGUGUGCUUCCCCAUUCCCCCUGGGCCUAUAGCAUCAGCAUCAGGGAACUUGUCAGUAACGCACAUUCUUGGGCCCCAACCCAGAACUACUGAAUCAGAAACUUGGGGUGAGGGCCUGUCGUGGUGGCUCACGCCUGUAAUCCCAACACUUUGGGAAGCAGAGGAGGGUGGAUCACCUGAGGUCAGGAGUUGAGGAC